GCCGGGCACGGUGGCGCCCGCCUGUAAUCCCAGCGCUUUGGGAGGCUGAGGCAGGAGGAUCGUGAGUUCAAAGCCAGCCUCAGCAAUGGAGAGGCCCUAAGCGACUUGGUGAGACCCUGUCUCUA
RNAcentral lists this small RNA (125 nucleotides) under Marmota monax (woodchuck). The record is from RNAcentral. Lineage: Eukaryota; Metazoa; Chordata; Mammalia; Rodentia; Sciuridae.